CCUACGGGGGGCAGCAGUGAGGAAUAUUGGUCAAUGGGCUUACGCCUGAACCAGCCAAGUCGCGUGAGGGAAGACUGCCCUAUGGGUUGUAAACCUCUUUUGUCAGGGAGCAACGCCGGCUACGUGUAGCCGGACUGAGAGUACCUGAAGAAAAAGCAUCGGCUAACUCCGUGCCAGCAGCCGCGGUAAUACGGAGGAUGCGAGCGUUAUCCGGAUUGAUUGGGUUUAAAGGGUGCGUAGGCGGAAUGCCAAGUCAGCGGUAAAAUCGCGUGGCGAAACCUCGCUCCGCCGUUGAAACUGGCGUUCUUGAGUGGGCGAGAAGUAUGCGGAAUGCGUGGUGUAGCGGUGAAAUGCAUAGAUAUCACGCAGAACUCCGAUUGCGAAGGCAGCAUACCGGCGCCCAACUGACGCUGAAGCACGAAAGCGUGGGUAUCGAACAGGAUUAGAUACCCCAGUAGUC
RNAcentral lists this ribosomal RNA (460 nucleotides) under uncultured bacterium. Its description in RNAcentral is "partial 16S ribosomal RNA". It matches the Rfam family "Bacterial small subunit ribosomal RNA", at positions 338 to 795 of the family's 1533-position model. The record is from RNAcentral.